GUGCUCGCUUUGGCAGUACAUAUACUAAAA
RNAcentral lists this small nuclear RNA (30 nucleotides) under Cervus elaphus hippelaphus. Lineage: Eukaryota; Metazoa; Chordata; Mammalia; Artiodactyla; Cervidae. The record is from RNAcentral.